GCAAAACAUUUAGCCUAAGUUGGAAUGAAAGAGACCACCAAGUUCCAAGUGCAGCCCACUGUUUUAUGAAUUGUUUUGGAAAAGAAUAGCAUUGUCUUAUGUAUACAAUUCACAUUACAAAUUAAAUGAGGGAAGUGACCAUACUUGAAAGUCUCGGCCAUACACAUACCACCUUUGGAAAAUUCAACAUACAAUUGAGAAAAGGUAGAAUGAGCUAAAUCCAAGAACAAAGUCAUCCCGUGAAACACCAAUUGGAGAGCUAAAUCCAAGCACAGGGGAUUGAUUGAAGAAAAAUGAAAAAGGCUAACUACUAGGUGGUGGAUCAGCCGCUACUCUAUGGCACAAAGAGACAACACACAUGCUGAUUUUUGGGGUCUCUUAAAACCUCCUUCCUCUCGGCAAUUUGGGGGGCAUCCUAUCUUUUCUCUUUUCCCGUGGAGUAUAGCAAGAGUAUUACAGAGAUCAUGGCUUGAUGAAGGAAGAGAAGGUGCUGGUGUGAGAUGAUACGUCCAGAGAGCUAGAAGAGGGAAGCAAAACUGUAUUUGAUUCUUGAAACACUACUGGAAGAAGACACAAGACCAAGAGAUGGAAAGUAAGGAGGGUGGAGCCGUGUGAAGAGUGCUUUGGAGAAGAAGACAAAAGCUUUCAAAGAGCAUCUUUUGGAGAAGGAAUUUACGUGAAUGGAAGCAACUUUUCAGAAUUCUUAAACCAAGUGCUUUCUUUCAUGUGAUUGAGAAGAAGUGGCCCACGGCCCCUUUCUUGCAUUUCUUACUCUAUUUGGAAUUGGACAUGACUAUAAUGGAAUAAUGGUUGCACGUUUAUUGCUUUCAUUUUAAUAGCUUUCAAUUACUCUUUGUGAAUAG
Molecule: small RNA, 863 nt
Filed under: Vigna angularis var. angularis
Lineage: Eukaryota; Viridiplantae; Streptophyta; Magnoliopsida; Fabales; Fabaceae
Description: Non-protein coding transcript
Source: RNAcentral